RNAcentral lists this ribosomal RNA (254 nucleotides) under uncultured bacterium. Its description in RNAcentral is "partial 16S ribosomal RNA". It matches the Rfam family "Bacterial small subunit ribosomal RNA", at positions 524 to 776 of the family's 1533-position model. The record is from RNAcentral.
UACGAAGGGGGCUAGCGUUGUUCGGAAUUACUGGGCGUAAAGCGCGCGUAGGCGGUUUUGCAAGCCAGAGUUGAAAUGCCUGAGCUCAACUUGGGAAUUGCCUUUGGGACUGCGAGGCUUUGAGGACUGGAGAGGUGAGUGGAAUUCCCAGUGUAGAGGUGAAAUUCGUAGAUAUUGGGAAGAACACCGGUGGCGAAGGCGGCUCACUGGCCAGUUUCUGACGCUGUAUCGCGAAAGCGUGGGGAUCAAACAGG